AAAGCUUUAGUAACAAUAUUACAUAGCCCUGUCAGUGCUAAAUUAUGGGCAACUAAAACCCGUAAGCUUUA
This 71-nucleotide transfer RNA is filed under the name Rieppeleon kerstenii. Its description in RNAcentral is "tRNA-Asp". Lineage: Eukaryota; Metazoa; Chordata; Lepidosauria; Squamata; Chamaeleonidae. The record is from RNAcentral.